CCGCGGGCGGUGGGCGGUGGGCGAGGGGCUGGGCGGGACGACCUUCCCCCGAGGGCGCGGGUGGCGGCUCUCCUUGCGCGGGGAGGGCGUCCUGCGCGCGGUGGCCCAGGCUUGCGGGGCGCAGGUCUCGGGGCCCGCGCAGGUGGAUGGAGGGUGAGAGGAUUGGCUCACGCGCUGGUGGGCUGUCCCCAGCGCGGCAGGACGAGAUAGUGUUCGCCCUAGCCCGUGGAGCCGGCGCGGUGCUCAUUCUCCAGUCCUUACCGAGGCCAGCUUUGGGGUGCCGAUUGUAGCACCCGGUGCACGAAGCUCUUGCCUUUGGAACUGAGUCCACAGGCCAGUGAGGGGUUGCCUCAAACGCUGAAUUCGCUGUGUCUACGAAGCCCCUGGCAGCACGGGGACAGACAUGCGUUCCUCCGGGGACCGAGGGGAGAGCAGCCAGCCGGGAUGCCCGGGCCGGGCAAGGGGCUUGGCCUCAUCCCAUAGACAGCUAUUGCGGGGGGUACGCAUUUGUGCGCCCUCCUGACCACUGCCCCUCCGUCUGCUCCUCCGGUGGCCUUUGUGUCACCUGAUAGCAGAGUUGAACAUCUGUACGAGGGGCAGUGCGGCAUUGUCCGCUGCUGCACAGUUACCCCAGACUUUUACCAGGACCAGUGUGAGAACGCCGUGAGGGUGGUGUGAGAGCCUGAGAGAGGGGCAGGUGGCACAGGAGAUCGUCCCCGACUCAAAUUGCCGAGACUCAGAGGGCUCUACUGUCUUUCACUCCGUGUGAGAUUUGAUGCUGCAGCUCAAGCAGUGCCAACUAAGACCCAACCUCCCCUUUUCUCUUCUUGGCCUCCUGGGCAUGGUAACAGUGCCCCAUCUCCCCUGCCCCCAGCUGCAGCUCUCUGCUGGCUUACAGCAGCACCCUGUCCAGGAAAGGAGGAAUUCCUCUUCCCUAGAAACCCCAGAAACAGCUUGUCUCUCACUGGCUCUGCCUGGGCUGCUUGUCCAUCCCCUGACCAGAGGAGAGGGAAAAGCUGAUGGCUCUAGCCAGUCAGGGCCAUGGCACCCAGGCCCACAGGAAGGAAACUGGGGUCCUGUGUCAGAGGGGAAGUGGGUGCUGGGAGCAGCCACAGUUGUUUGCCACGCCCCCAUCUUCCUUUCGUAAGAAUGAAGAGGAGGCAGCUCUUCCACAGCAAUGCAUCACACAGAGAACUUGGUCUCACACACCAGAGGACUCUGCAUUCUCCGCCUUGUCUAUUCAGUAGCUAUUUACUGACGAGUGACAUGCAUUGCACACUUUGUGCGCACAGUCAGGCACUGCACUGAGUGCAGCAAAAAGGACAGUAAGAUUCGGCCACGCACCUCCAAAUGCUUAUGGUCCAGUGGCCAUCACUGGACACAGUGACAAGGGCCAGGGGAAGGAGCCUCAUGGGAGGCCAGCACAGUAACUAGAGCUGGAAGAGCCAGCUUACAGUGAGGAUGGAGCAAAGUGACAGAUUUGUGAGAUGGCCAGGAUUUGAUUGGCUCCAUAUGCAGUUGGAGGUAGAUAUUGAGUCAGAAGAAAGGAACCUGGAAUGACUUCCAGGGGACCACUGGCAAAGGAUGGAGGGCGGUGUUGCCACAGGACCCAGCACCAGAGCAUGGAGAGCGGGGCAGCUGUGCACUGGCAGGAGAUGGCUUUGGUGAGAGCUCUUGCAGCCUGGUAGGGACCCAGUGACACGAGGUGUGAGGUGGCCGUGAGACGAAGGAGAGCAGACUCGAGAGUUGGAGGAGGCUGGAAAUACAGAUGGAAGAGGCUGAAGGUGGAGCCAGCUCCCUGAGAAGACAAAGAGCAAGACCUGGCCUUGAGUGGGAGGGUGGACACGACUUCCAUUUCUGCCCAAGCAGCGGGUGGAUGGGGGUGAAAGGGAGGCACAGGGUUGGUAGCCCUGUCAGUGCAGUGAGCUUUCUGAGACCUUCUUCCUGGGCUUGACUCUGGACUGACUGGAGUAGGGUAUGUGGCAAGGGGCCCCAACCUUCAUGUUAAGACCUCCCCAGAUGAUCCCAUGGCUUCCCUGCCUUCUGCCCCCGCUGGGCUAAGAGUGGGGGAGACAGGGAAACAGGCUGGUGCUCAGAGUGGCUGAAGAGCUAAGCCACAAAGUCUCUGCUAGAAACAAGAGGAGGAGACGAGGGGAGGGGGCCUGGGUGUUGGACAGGCUACCCACAGAGCCCUGAGGGGAGCCAGGGUCAGAGUUCAGAGGCCUGGUGGAAACCCCCCAACUCGCAGGAAAGGAUCUAAGGUUCCAAGAGGAAGUGCUUGCUCAGUUGACCCCUCACUCCAGCAGCCUCUCCCACUACCACAAGACCACAAGGUUGCUGACAAAUGGCUGAAAACAAGCACCCCAGGUGCACUGUACCCAGGUGUGUUUGCUUGAUGCCAGAGAGCACAGCUGGAAACGGUGAGAAGCACACAAGCUUUAUUUGCACAAUCUAGGGAGGUGUUCCCCAAUCUGUCCCACUGAAAGAGGACAGGGUCUUUUCUCUCACACCGGCUACUGAAAUAUAAAUUAACACAACUGCAAAUCAAAC
This is a long non-coding RNA of Equus caballus (horse), 2550 nucleotides long. RefSeq lists it as uncharacterized. The record is from RefSeq and is a predicted model, not a curated record. NCBI's taxonomy places the organism in Eukaryota, Metazoa, Chordata, Mammalia, Perissodactyla, Equidae.